CCUACGGGAGGCAGCAGUGGGGGAUAUUGCACAAUGGGGGGAACCCUGAUGCAGCGACGCCGCGUGGGUGAAGGAGUGCUUCGGCAUGUAAAGCCCUAUCGGCAGGGAAGAAGCAAGACGGUACCUGACUAAGAAGCCCCGGCUAACUACGUGCCAGCAGCCGCGGUACUACGUAGGGGGCGAGCGUUAUCCGGAUUCACUGGGUGUAAAGGGAGCGUAGACGGCCGUGCAAGCCAGGGGUGAAAGGCCGGGGCCCAACCCCGGGACUGCACUUGGAACUGGAUGGCUGGAGUGCGGGAGGGGCAGGCGGAAGUCCUGGUGUAGCGGUGAAAUGCGUAGAUAUCAGGAGGAACACCGGCGGCGAAGGCGGCCUGCUGGACCGCGACUGACGUUGAGGCUCGAAAGCGUGGGGAGCGAACAGGAUUAGAUACCCCUGUAGUC
RNAcentral lists this ribosomal RNA (441 nucleotides) under uncultured bacterium. RNAcentral describes it as "partial 16S ribosomal RNA". It matches the Rfam family "Bacterial small subunit ribosomal RNA", at positions 338 to 795 of the family's 1533-position model. The record is from RNAcentral.